UGAGCAAUCUGCCCUUCACAUCGGAAUAACCAUUGGAAACGAUGGCUAAUACCGAAUAUGACUUCGGAUCGCAUGAUCUGAAGUGGAAAGCUCCGGCGGAGAAGGAUGAGCUCGCGGCCUAUCAGCUAGUUGGUGUGGGUAAUGGCCCACCAAGGCGACGACGGGUAGCCGGCCUGAGAGGGUGACCGGCCACACUGGGACUGAGACACGGCCCAGAUCCUACGGG
RNAcentral lists this ribosomal RNA (226 nucleotides) under uncultured bacterium. RNAcentral describes it as "partial 16S ribosomal RNA". It matches the Rfam family "Bacterial small subunit ribosomal RNA", at positions 118 to 345 of the family's 1533-position model. The record is from RNAcentral.